UGAGGAAUAUUGGUCAAUGGGCGAGAGCCUGAACCAGCCAAGUAGCGUGAAGGAUGAAGGUCCUAUGGAUUGUAAACUUCUUUUAUAGUAGAAUAAAGUGAGCCACGUGUGGUUUUUUGUAUGUAUACUAUGAAUAAGGAUCGGCUAACUCCGUGCCAGCAGCCGCGGUAAUACGGAGGCUCCGAGCGUUAUACGGAUUUCUUGGGUUUAAAGGGUGCGUAGGCGGAAUAAGAAGUCAGUUGUGAAAGUUGGCGGCUCAACCGUAAAAGUGCAGUUGAUAC
Molecule: ribosomal RNA, 281 nt
Filed under: uncultured prokaryote
Description: partial 16S ribosomal RNA
Rfam family: Bacterial small subunit ribosomal RNA
Source: RNAcentral